RNAcentral lists this ribosomal RNA (555 nucleotides) under Salmonella enterica subsp. enterica serovar Tennessee. Its description in RNAcentral is "bacterial LSU rRNA". It matches the Rfam family "Bacterial large subunit ribosomal RNA", at positions 658 to 1211 of the family's 2925-position model. The record is from RNAcentral. Lineage: Bacteria; Pseudomonadati; Pseudomonadota; Gammaproteobacteria; Enterobacterales; Enterobacteriaceae.
UAGGGGAGCCGCAGGGAAACCGAGUCUUAACCGGGCGUUAAGUUGCAGGGUAUAGACCCGAAACCCGGUGAUCUAGCCAUGGGCAGGUUGAAGGUUGGGUAACACUAACUGGAGGACCGAACCGACUAAUGUUGAAAAAUUAGCGGAUGACCUGUGGCUGGGGGUGAAAGGCCAAUCAAACCGGGAGAUAGCUGGUUCUCCCCGAAAGCUAUUUAGGUAGCGCCUCGUGAAUUCAUCUCCGGGGGUAGAGCACUGUUUCGGCUAGGGGGCCAUCCCGGCUUACCAACCCGAUGCAAACUGCGAAUACCGGAGAAUGUUAUCACGGGAGACACACGGCGGGUGCUAACGUCCGUCGUGAAGAGGGAAACAACCCAGACCGCCAGCUAAGGUCCCAAAGUCAUGGUUAAGUGGGAAACGAUGUGGGAAGGCCCAGACAGCCAGGAUGUUGGCUUAGAAGCAGCCAUCAUUUAAAGAAAGCGUAAUAGCUCACUGGUCGAGUCGGCCUGCGCGGAAGAUGUAACGGGGCUAAACCAUGCACCGAAGCUGCGGCAGCGA